Non-coding RNA from Xyrauchen texanus (razorback sucker), 1014 nucleotides. The record is from the annotation of a RefSeq genome assembly. Lineage: Eukaryota; Metazoa; Chordata; Actinopteri; Cypriniformes; Catostomidae.
AAAACUCUGCCUUAAUAAGAAACCACAACCCUUCCUGCGAAGCUGAUAUCAAAAUUUGUGACACAGGAAAUAAACUAUUGCAGCCCCUGCUGGCAACAGCGUGAUAAUACAGUGUGCAUAUCAUAGAUGUUGUUAGAUCUGUUCACUACAGAGGUGCAUCUUUUUGUUCAAGAACUAAUAACUGUGGGAAUCAAGAAAGCCUUCGGCUCGGGCACAAGACUUUAUGUGACAGAAUCAGGCAAAGACAAGCCUGAGGCACCAGAGGUGUCAGUGUACCAAUUGUCCUCCGCACAACCAAAUGGCAAAAGCACAAUGUUAUGUCAAGCCAAGAAGAUGUUUCCUGACUUGGUGAAAUUCUCGUGGGAAAUGAAGGGCAAGACCGGAGGAGACUGGACUAAAGUGGAGGAGAAAAAUGUUGUGGAGCAGUGGAACAAACAGCCAACGAUUGCCGUGACAAGUAUGGUGAUCGUAGACAAAAAUACAGCCAAAAACAACCUUUACCGAUGCACUGUUACACACGAGGGAACAGACAUUCAAAGAAUUGGAUUAGCAAAAGAAGAGCCAGCAGUGAAUACCAAUGUUGACGCACAAAUCCCGGUACCAUGUCCACCCAACACAGAAUCACCCUCAGAUACUAUGGAUCAAAUACCUAGUCUGUACCUGUUUGUUUAUGCAUAUGUUGUAUUGCUCAUGAAGAACGGAUUUUAUUUUUGUGCUGUCUCUAUCUUUCUAUUGAAGAGAAAAGCUGGAAAGAAGGAUGCAAGCUCUUAGGGGCUAAAUGCAUAAUAUCAACAUGAACAAACAUAAGGUUUAAAAUGUCCAGUAUAUUUCUUUGAAUUCUUAAAAAAAAAAAGAUGCACAUUUAAAAAUGUACUCCCUCCAUGUCAGGAAUUUCUUCUCAAAUGUAUUUCUUCUAAAUGUAUUUGUUUUAGAUCUGUUUUAUUAAUGCUUCUAAAAAAUAUGAAUGGCUUGAUUGUAUUUUAAUUGUCUUUUUAAAGCUCAUAAACAGAAAUG